CUUGCCCCUAGAAGUCUUUCAGGUGUGGCUUCUGUGUCCCAUGUGAAUCAGGUGGCAGAGAGGAGAGAGGGCAUGUCUAUGCUCAGUAUUCUGACUUAUGGACAUCUGAAUGAUUAGUAACCUAACAUU
This is a small nucleolar RNA of Apodemus sylvaticus (European woodmouse), 129 nucleotides long. RefSeq annotates it as small nucleolar RNA SNORA17. The transcript has a single exon. NCBI's taxonomy places the organism in Eukaryota, Metazoa, Chordata, Mammalia, Rodentia, Muridae. The record is from RefSeq and is a predicted model, not a curated record.